RNAcentral lists this unclassified non-coding RNA (301 nucleotides) under Glomeraceae sp. Its description in RNAcentral is "partial contains 5.8S ribosomal RNA, internal transcribed spacer 2, and large subunit ribosomal RNA". The stretch from base 1 to 71 matches the Rfam family "5.8S ribosomal RNA", at positions 84 to 154 of the family's 154-position model. Lineage: Eukaryota; Fungi; Glomeromycota; Glomeromycetes; Glomerales; Glomeraceae. The record is from RNAcentral.
GUGAAUCAUCGAAUCUUUGAACGCAUAUUGCACUUUCUGGUAUUCCGGAAAGUAUGCCUGUUUGAGGGUCAGUUAAAUAAAAAUCGGUGUUGCUGCUGCUAUUAGUGGUGAUGCAUCGGAAUUGAGUUGUUCUUUGCCCUUGGCAUAAGUGACUUAAAAAUUUUGUACGAUUUUUGAACGUAUUUAAAAUUAAUGUACGUUCAUAAUAAUAUCAUAUAUUAGAUGCGGUCAUUUUUAUGACUUCGUGUCUAUAAUUUUUCAUUAUUGACCUCAAAUCAGGUAAGAAUACCCGCUGAACUUA